AGAACACCUGUUGCUGCCUCCUCAUUAUUCCUCCCUCUAGCCACAGCCUAGAACUUGGAAGCCAAGGUCUCCCUCAUCUCUCUCCCAACAUCAACACUGUCCGCUGGUGCUCGCAUCUCCCUGUCCUCUUGUGCACGUGCGUCCUGGUACACGAAUUCCUUCUCCCUUGCGUGUGUCGGUUGCCUCCACCGCUGGUCGUGCGCCGCUGUCAACCUUCCUCACCGGUCACGGCUCCUUGCCGGUCGUCCCUGACCCCACCUUGGCACAGCGCCGCUGGGAGCGCGGUCUGGGCAAGCCUUCGGGUUGCGUCGUGGGAUGCCGCGGCUCGGUCAAGUGAUGUUGGGGAACCCUAGGUGUCGUUGGGAUCAGCUCGCCGGGAUGCGCGGAUUUCGUCACUGGAUGGGAGAAUCCGCCGCUGGGUCGCUGUUCGCACGGACACCGUCGAUGCCAUGGUGCUCCAAGCUACAAAUCCUGGUGAGAACCUCCUUCUCGGAUCCGCCUCCAUCUUCUAACUGCGUAGCACCCAUCGUGGUGAGGGAUCGUGCGCCGGGGGUGACGAUCGUGCGCUUGCCGGCGAUGGCAUGACAUGGAUUGAGCGGCGCCGCCGCGUCUGUACGCGGAUGAGGAAAACAUGUGCCCAGUCGUUGGAUCGAAAGGGUGCGGCUAGGAUUAGAAGGUAGCUUACCCAUUCGUUUAAGAGAACCCUGACCAUAGAUCUGCGAUCCGAUGAAUAUGAUUUGAUCUCGGUUAUUUAGGAUCCGAGCCGUAGAUAUAGGAUCUAGCGGCUAUCAUUGUGUCCUGGUUCCGGGGGGAUUGGAUCUAAUCCUAAGCGUUGAACCCAGAUCCAACGGCUUUAGUCACCCGAUACCCCAUUGGUUGUGGUAUUUUGAUAAAGAUCCCAUGGAACCUUUAUAAAUCAACCCACAGUCCUCGAAGCCUAUUCACUGAGUCUUAGGAAGCUUGCGCAGAGGCCCCUGUCUUCUCUGGAAAUUGAGGCAGUCCAGACAGUGAGAAAAACCUAUAAAAUCAUUUAGAAAAUGAAUUUUUAAUAUGAAAACAAUUCCUAGAACUUGUGUAAUUCAUAGAAAAUUCAUAUUAAGUCCAAAUUAAUUCAUUCCAGUUUCUAUAAUUUUGUAAUAUUAUUUUUUAUCACCUAGUGUCUCUGUUGUGACAUGAAAGACACAAUAAAAUUGAUCUCCUAAUUAAUCUUGUAUCAAAUACAUAAAACCUUUGGAAAUUCAUAACUUCCUCAGUUUAACUCCGAAUUGAACCGUUCCAGUUGCGUUAGCUUCAUAUGAAUAUUUACUAUGCAAUAACAGCAUUUAUUGUACCAUGUCUCAUUCUUUUAUAAGUAGAUCUUUUUUAACUUUUGUUGGUUAGUCUUGUUAAUCUACUUAUCAUUAUAAUCUACUAAAAUAUGAUCUAUGGUCAAUUUAUAAUUUAGAUUAAAGUUCAAUUAAUUACUACUUUAGGUUAUCUUUUCUCUGGAGUUAUAAAAUAAACAUAGAACCUAGUUUUAAUCAUUUAAUCACAUCAUAACUUGAUGAUCGUAGCUCCGAUUUUAGUGGUUCUCGAUCCCAUGGUCUCGUAGCGACGCGUAGAUCAUUAUUAUGCAGUUUAUUCUUAUGUUUGGUGUGAUGUUAAUUUUGUCUAUACCAUGUUUGUUUGUAUUGCUAUGACUAGCGUGAGGUAACGAGUCACCUAAGGAUCAUCCCGGUACCUGGAAUCUCAAGUCCCAGGCAAGGUUUGCCCUUGACCACUUUUUACUCAAUAAUGUUCUUUAUUAUCACUUAUUAAUGCAUAGGUUUACUUUUUAUGGGACCCAAUAGGUCACCCAAACUGGUUAUCCUUUUACCUUGUUUAUCCCUAAAUCACAUGGGUAGUUUUGUUAUUGCUUUACAUGGUUUUGGGUUAAUAUUUCAUUAUAUCCAUGUUCCAAUUAUUCUGUUAUUUUAUUUAUGUUCAUGUCAAGAUCAUUAUAUUUUUAAUUGGAACAUGGAGCUUAACUUGAGAAACACGUGGCACCACAAGGGUGGAAUGGGAUGCCCUUGGCUAACUAAUUAGGAAAGCUAGUGGAAGACUACCUUACCCGAAAGGGUCAAGGGCAGUAGGGGAGUAGGCACGCAGGGAGGUUCUCGGGUUGAUUUUGCUACGAGGGCGGUCAGACGAGGGAUUCUUGCAAUUGCUCUUCCCAGAAACUGUAGCGGGUUUUCGGAAGCUAGUGGAACUUUGUAAAGGCCUCAUAGUGGAUCCCUAGCCAUUCACCUCGGUAGUGUCUAAGGGUCUAGCUAACCCUGGCGACAUGGGAUACACGACUUGUGGGUACAGGGUACAACCUCUACAGAGUGUAAAACUGGUAUACUAGCCGUGCUCGCGGUCAUGAGCAGCUCAGGACUCUCGCAUGAUUAAAUUAUGGAACUAAAUUCAAUUUGUCAUUUGCAUUGCAUGGGAUUUAUUAUUAAUUUUUUUCUAUUAUUAUGGUUUGAUAUCUACUAUACUUAGUAACUGCUAAUAAAAUUUUGACCAACUUUAAAAGCAAUGCUCAACUUUAACCAUUCUCUUGGGUAAGUCAUACACUUCACAUGAGCUCCCACCUUUGGCGAGUUCAUGCACAUUAUUCCCCGCAACUUGUUGAGCUAUGAAUGUAUGUGAGCUCACCCUUGCUGUCUCACACCCCCACAGGUCAAGAACAGGUACCACAGGAUGAGACACAUGGAGGAUGUUGCAAUGUGUUCGUGAGAGGUCUAGGUCGUCGUCUCCCGGUCAACUUUGGGUUGCUGGAUCGUUGUCUCCUUUCGAUGUAAAUAUUUAUUUAUUUUGUACAGAACUCCUAUUAUAUAAUAAAGUUGUGACAUUCGUUUCUGUACCACUAUUCAUCAUGUGUGAGACUUGGUCCUAGCACACCUGGUGUUUAUGUUCGCGCCCGGGUCCCUAAAACCCGGGUGUGACAGAAGUGGUAUCAGAGGAAUGUUUACUGUAGGACAAAACCUAGAUAGAAUUGGACAACCAAUACUUACUUACCUUUGCUACUCUGAUCCUUUCUAAACUUUUCUUAAUCUUUUCUCAUCUAUUUCUGCUUUACUCUGAUUAUUCUUACCUUUUCUCUUCUAAAGACAAAAGUGGAUUUCACACUUUGAAAUCCUGUGUCUAAAGUGACUUUAGGAAUAAGAGAUCUACUCUUAGGAACAAAAUCAAAACUAUUUUCGUAAAUAUUUGUAUACCUGAAUGUUUGUUCUUGUGAUGCAUGUCAGAUUUGGAUUUUGGAUUGAGUGUGAUGAGUUGUGGAGUAAUGUCCACAAUUACAUCUACAUAUACGUAUAGGCAUAAAUAUAAAUAAAUAAAAAUCAUAAGAUGACUAUACAAACUAAGAAUACCCCCAUUAAAAUAUAUCUAGUUUAAUAGAUCCAUCUUAUCUUGCAAGAUUCUCUCUUAUCUUAAUAGAUUCAUCUUAUCUUGAAAGAUUUGUCUUAUCCUAACCACUUUACUUAACUCAUCCUAAAGUAAAAAUCAGGACCUAAUCCAAAAUAAUGAGAUAAGAUCUGAGUUAUAUUUGCGUGACUAAAACCACUUGACUUAUCCCACCAUGAUCAUGAUCUAACCCAAAUUAAUUGGAUCUUGUCUAGUCGAAGCUAGUCAUACUUAAAUCUGAUCUAAUGUGAUAGAUUAAUAUAACCUAACGAAGGCUAACCUCAAGUUGAGCUAAUCUAAUGUAAGUUGCUUAACAGGAAAGUUAAUACUGAUAAAAUGAAUUAGACUCUACUCCUAUAAAAUAUGUUUUAAUUCACUCUACACUAAAUUAAGAACGAGAGACCAACUCGGCCCUAUGCAACUACCUUAACCAUUCGAUGGUUGCAUAACCCAUCUGUUUUAACCUAACAGAGAUUCUGAACUACCUGCACCAUAUAAUUCAUUAUAUCUCAAAAGAUUCUAACAUACCCUAAUAAUAUUUAGUCUACCCUGGUAGAUCUAUCUAACUUAAACUAGUCUAAUCUAGUUAUAUCCAAUCUAAUCUGGACCCUACCUAAUAUAAUAUGAUCCAAUCUAAAGGGAGUGACUUAAACAAGUUAGUUAAUACUGUUAACAUAGAUUAGACCAUAUUCCUAUGAAUCGGUUUUAAACCUAAAUUGGUGUUUUAGACCAACUCGUCCGUGAAACCACGACCUGGCCUAUGUUAUAGGUUGCCCAACCCAUUUAUCCCAAAAACAAAGUAAAACUUUGUUUAAUCUAUCUACACCAUGUACCCGCAAUUGUUACCCCAACUUAGAUAAUGACAUCUAACACACAACCGAUGGUCCCUAAAACAGACCCAAGAAGGUUAAUCUCGACAAUGAACGAUAUGUGUAGAAACAGAUCUCCAGAUAAAUCAAGGUCCACCACCCGGAAUAAAAGUGUUGGGGACUUGUUCUCAAAUGCUAUGAAUUAAGAACAAGGCAACAUAAAAUGUUAAAUGAAAUUGUCCUUCAUCCGCGAAGCAUUAUUCCUUUGAGGAUAAUGAAUCCUGGACGAAGGUUGAUGAGAAUCUUAUUACGAAGUUGAACCUUCGUAAUAAACUUUUAAUAAGCGUUAUAAAAUAAUACAAAAUAAAAGGUAUAAGAUGGAUAAAUGUCUCACAGAUACAUCAUAUCAUAUUUACCUAAUAUAUUGAAUUAUUAAAUACAAUAAUACCUAUGCCUUGACAAAGGUUGAAUUCCGAAAGAUGCAAUUGCAAAUGCCAGAAUGCGUGAACAGUAACGGAAUAUUGUUCACUAUUUAUAGGCACAGGACGCAGCCUGUGAGGAAUUACAAGUAUGCCCCUUAUAAAAACUUACAACAUUGACUCAGACCUUUAUGGACUAAAAGGUCAUUCUAUCUUUAAGUCGGUUUGUAAUGCCGAAGCUCUGCGAAGAGGCACCUUCGGCUAUCUUGUACGAACAGCUUCAUCCGAGGAUUACUUCUUUCUAUAAGACCUUCGGCGACGAAGCAUAGACCCAACAGUAGCCCCUUUCGCGGUGCUAGAUCGUUUUUCGUAACGAGCUUGAUCCGUGAAAAAAGUUUCCUAAGCUUCGGAGCGCCGAAGGUCUCAAAAAACACCUUCCCUGAGCUCGUUGUCGAGAAACGAUCGGAUUUCCCUGCGCGCAGCGGCCCCACCUUGCAGAGUUACUGUUCGGUCACUGCGGUCCACCGUACAGCGAGUGCGAGCGGGUGUCCGCCUGGUGUAAAACUCCUGGCGCUUCGCCUUCUUACCUGCGGCACUAUAUAAACAGACGAGUAGGUGUGAAGUUACCACAGCAUUUACUGCUAUUUGCACUGUUUUGCUGCCAAAAUUUUUAACCAUCGCCGAAGCUUGUUUGUCAGAAUUGAACGAAGCUCCAACCUGAAACCUGCUUUGGAGAAAAAAGUAUUAAAGUUUCACAAGUUCAUAGUUAAAUGGCCAGAGUCCGCUCUACCGCUAGGGUUGAGCGUGAGGGGGACGAGACUGAAGCUUCGGAGACUGUCCCUAUCUCCGAAGCUAUGCAACGAUCCGGGUUAGUGACUUCGGAGAAGAUUCCUGGUGAUGAUGCGGAACAAACUGUCUCUGAAGCAGAAGGAGAAGAUGCUGGGGAAACUGACCCCGAAGAUGAUUAUCACCUUGCCACGCCAAGCAAACCUAGUCAUUUGGACUUCGGGAAAUCUACUGUUUCGAAGGCUGAAUUGUCCAAGAUGGUAAAAUCAGGCUAUUUUACUGAAAAUCAAAAGAAGCUAUUACGCUUCGGGGGAGAAGAGACUACCCCGAAGCCGGAGAAAGAUGAGAUUGUUAUUUUUAAGAGCUUCCUAAAGGCUGGAUUAAGAUUCCCCCUUCAAGGGAUUAUUGCAGAGAUACUGAAGAACUUCGGAAUUUAUUUUCACCAGCUAACCCCUAACGCUAUCGUUAGGCUCAGUGUUUACAUCUGGGCACUCCGAAGCCAAGCGGUAGAACCGUUUGCGGACAGCUUCUGCCGAGUUCACGAACUGCACUAUCAGACAAAGGCUAGGAAGGAUGGAUUACAUGAGAAUUUUGGUUGUUAUAAUUUUGCUUAUCGGAAAACUACGAAGUAUCCUGUGAUCAGCUACCGAAGCAAAUGGGCAGCAGGGUGGAAAUCAGAAUGGUUCUAUGUUAAGGUUGAUGAUGAUAAAGAAAAGCUUGUGCAAAGUCCAUUGGAACUGACCUUCGGAGAAACUCGCCCCCAGUGCCACAUGUUACCAGAGGGUCCAACUCAAAAAGCAAUGCUUGAAUUCAAAAUAAUUGCAGAGAAUAUCAGUACAAGGGACCUGGUCCAGGAAUUCUUGGCCUUCAAGGUUUUUCCUAGUGUAAAAGAGUGGGAAAUGCCGAAGCUGGAGGGGGAGAAGGAAAAAGGUGAACUUGUACGUUUGCCUUACUACUUCAAAUUUAAAAAAUAUUUUAAAACUCCUUGCCAAGAGUGGCUGGAUACAAUUGAAGUGAUGUGCAACGAGAUACUUGGUAAUUAUUCGAAAAAAGAAGAUCAAUUGAUGACCGCAGCCUUCGGCACCCGUUCGAAACGAAGGCUAAAUCGAGUAUUUGACGCCUUGGGUUUCGAAUACCCAGACUAUGAAGAUCUGAACAAAGGUGCCGGAGGGCAAAAAAGGAAAAGGGCGACUGAAGCCUUAGAUGAAGGUGAAAAAGAGCCAGUAAAGAAGAAAAUUUCAAAGAAAAAGAAACCUUCUUCUCCGAAGCAACAAAUAUCCGAAGCAGAAGAAACCCCCGCAUCACCUUCUGCUGCUGUUGUUGAAGAAAUUCUGAAGGUAAUGACUGAAUCCUUACCUGCGAAGCUAAGUCCACUGGGUCCUCAACUGACUAAGUUUUUUCAGAAGGACAAGGAGCCUGAGAAAUUGAGGAAAACAAUCAAGGGAAAGAAACAAAGAAUCAUUACCGUGACAGAGGUAAUUGACAAAACGCCGCCAAGAGCUUCGGCCCAAAAAACGCAAACAGCAGCAGAGGGGGCAGACAUUGAAAUUGCACCUUCGGAGGCCGCAGCCGCCGAAGUUACCUCGGCUGAAGAUUUAAAUUUAGAGAGCACAAUUGAACAUAUUGACCAAAUACUGCUAGACAUGGCUGCAGAAGAAGCCAACACUGCUGCCGAAGAGGCCAUGACUACAACGUCAAAGAAAGGAAAAGAAGUUGCUGAAGAAGCUUCGGAAGACGAAGCCUUCGUGUUCCAAAACUUAGUUGGAGGACACCUAUCAAAAGCUGAAAUAGAAGAACUUAAAGAAUACGCCCAAUCCUGUGGGUACAAACCUGGGGCACUCCUCUUCGGAGGCGUUGAUGAUGAGAAAUUAGAGUGUAUUCGGGACCAAACAGGGGCCAAAGUCAUCAGCACUCUGUCCAAGAGUAUUGGAUUCCCGAAGCUAGAAGCAGAUAUCAGCCGCUACCGACGACAACAUGUCGUUGGUAGUUUGUUUUACUCCAACUUCAAGGUAAAUGAUUUGUCCCUUAACUUUUAUUGCUUCUAAUAAAAACAUGUCUGACGAAGGUUGUGUUUGUGUAGAGUAUGCUAUUGAGCAAAGCCUUGCAAAUGCAGCAAGACCUUGAAGAUAAAAAGCAUGAAGUUAUAAUUGGAAAUUUGGAAAACAAAAUAAAGGAGCAAUCAGAUGCUUUUGAGAAAAAGAACUUUGAACUCCAGGCAGCUGAAGGUUUACUGGCGGAAGCUGAAGCAAAAAUAUCAGAACUGAACACGAAGUUUCUCCGCCAGUCUGAGCAGUUCGAACAAGAAAAACAAGAUCUCAAUGCAAAACUUGAAGCCGAAGCUCAGCAAAAUUCGGAUUUAAGAAAACUACUGACAAAUCUUCAAGACAAAUGCCUGGAAUUUAGCAACAAAUGCAUACAACGACUAAGAGAGAUUUUUCACUCAGUUGGAGCUAGCAGCGAAAAAUUUACCCCCUCAGCUGAAGAUCUACCAAAAACUUUCGAACACAUUGAGGGGGAGAUUGAAGAGCUCGACGAAGUCAUAGCCGGGCAUGGCGACUUCUGUGCCUGGGUGGCUUCUCGAGGGACUGCUGCAGCCUUCAUGAAGGCUGGCUGUGAUCAUGGGAAAAUUGUUAAUAGGCCAAAUUUUACUUUGUCACCAUCAAUCUUGGAUGACAUCCCUGAUCUCGCCCGAAGCAUCUCGAAUCGAUUUGUAAAAAUGAUAUGGACAAAAGGUGGUCGAGAGAAAGCUGGAGACGAAGCUCGUAGCCACCUUGAUCCAGUAAGAAAUCAUACCUUGUGCUUACCUUUUCUUGUAAACUUGAUUCUGACUUCCAACGACCUUAUUCAUGUAGGAUGACGAAGCCGAAGCUGAUGCUCAAAAAUAACGCCGAAGCCGAAGCUCCUUGGAGAUUUAGAUAGUAGAGUGCAGAUAAUACUUGAAAAACUUUUGAGAUAACUUUUAUAAAUGUAAACAAAAACUUGUUUUUAAUGUAUGCUGUUCAUACCUUGUAAUAUAUCCUUAACCUUUCACUGAUGUAUGAUAAAUGCUUCGAUGUGGACGAAAUUUCCUUUUUUGAGCCGAAGGCGAAAAAACACCUUCCCUUCUAUUCGUACGCAACGAAGCAUAGAAAACAAUAUUUUCCUUUUCUUCGAAGCUCUCCUUCAUAGAAAUUUUUUCCCUUUCUUUUUUCUUUUCUUGCCGAAGCAACCAUUUUAUGCGAUGAAGAUGAUUAUCCUACAUAUGCCUAGAUGAAUGUUUAUGAAUGCAAAUGCUAUGAUGUAAUGUGAUGUGCAAAUGAAUGGCCAAACACGUAUCCGAAGCCAUAUUCAUAGCCAUUAUUUUCUUAAAAACAUUCACACCUCAGCUCUGCAUUCCCUUAGGAACGACUUUGGAGCUUCUUUGCCUUUACUUUUGGCGAAAUCAGCGUUGACUUUUCGCUGUAAGCUCUGCAUUCCCUUAGGAACGUCUUUGGAGCUUCUUCGCCUUUUACUUAGGCGGUAUAAGCUCUGCAUUCCCUUAGGAACGUCUUUGGAGCUUCUUCGCCUUUUACGUAGGCGGUAUAAGCUCUGCAUUCCCUUAGGAACGUCUUUGGAGCUUCUUCGUUUUUACUUUUUGGCACUCGAUGGUGCACUCUCAGCUUUUACAUUUACAUUCUUUGGGGGAUUUUACUCUUAUAAGACUAGAAAAGGAAAUUACAUAUGCUGGCCCCAUUAAAAACCUUUCUCCCCCUUUAGAAAGGAAAAGGGUGCCAUGAAAGAAAAAAUAAAAAAUAUGAAAAAUUACAUCGAAUUAUACAUAAUACCGCCGAAGCUCAUCCGCAUUCCAAGAUCUAGGAAUGUCAUUGCCGUCCAUAUCUUUCAAUCUGUAUGAACCGGGCCUUGACGAAGAUGCUACUAAGAAAGGCCCGUCCCAUUUCAACUGCAAUUUGCCCACUGUUUCCGGGUUGGCCACCCUCCGAAGCACCAAGUGCCCCGGCUCAAUAUUUUUCAGCCGAACCUUUCUAUCCCGCCAUUUGACUGUUUCAGCUUGAUAUUUAUUAAUAUUCUCCACGGCUUGCAGUCUGAUCCCUUCUAGAGCAUCUUUUUCUAUAGAAUAAGCAGCUUCGGAAUCUGAUUCUGCCGAAGCUACUAUCCUUAUUGAUCCGGCUUUAGCUUCCUCUGGAGUUAUUGCUUCGUCACCGAAUAACAACUUAAAUGGAGUGAAGCCUGUAGACCUUGAUGAUGUCGUAUUGUGGCUCCACACCACUUUGGUUAGCUGAUCUGGCCAUUUUCCUCUAGGUUGAUUGAAGAUUAGCUUCAUUAUUCCUGUCAUUAUAAUGUCGUUGGCUCUUUCAACGAGUCCAUUUGACUCCGGGUGCCUGACUGAUGCAAAAUGGAUCUUCGUACCAAUUUGGUCACAGAAAUCCCUGAAAGCUUCGGAGUCAAACUGUGUUCCAUUGUCCACAGUGAUAGCCUUUGGCACCCCAAAACGACAAACAAUAUUCUGCCAGAAAAAUUUUUGGAUGGUAGCCGAAGUUAUUGUGGCUAAAGGCUUCGCCUCAAUCCAUUUAGAAAAGUAUUCCACAGCUACCACAACAUAUCUCAGGUUCCCUUGAGCCGGUGGUAACGGACCUAACAAGUCAAGGCCCCACCUUUGCAAUGGCCAAGUGGGUUGUAUGAGCUGUGUCAAGGACGAAGGUUGUUUUUGAUCUCUUGCACAUUUCUGACAACCUUCGCACUUUUGAACCAAUUCUGCUGCAUCCGAAGCUGCCUUCGGCCAAUAAAACCCUUGACGGAAAAUUUUCCCGAGUAACGGCCUAGAUCCAAUGUGAGAUCCACACAGGCCUGCAUGUAUUUCUUUCAUUAACUCUAUACCUUCGGUUCUGGAUAAGCAUUUGAGCAGCGGAGCACAAACUCCAUGUUUAUACAACUCCCCUUCUAUCAUGACAUAUGGGCGAGCUCUUGCUUCUAUCCUCUUGUUAUAAGCUUCGUCAUCUGAAAGAAAUUUACCCUGAAGGUAAGAGAUUAUCUCGGUUCUCCAAUCUUCGCUAAAAACAGGAGAUAUAUUAAGAACUGCUCUUUCAAGAAGUUCCACCGAAGGUGCUUUUAUUGUUUCGAAAAAUACAUCCGAAGGUAAAGGCAACCCUUGUGCUGCUGACUUAGCUAGCAAAUCAGCAUGCUCAUUUUGUCCUCUAGGGAUAUUUUUGACAGAAAACCCUUCGAAGGAAGCUUCAACUCUUCGAACCAUAUCCAGAUAUUUUUCAAGCUUCGGAUCCUUAGCCUUGCAACUUUUGUCAAUAUGACCCGAAACAACCUGGGAAUCAGUUUUAAGUAUGGCUCUUCUGAUUCCCAUUGCUUUUAACUUUCGAAGACCUAAAAUCAAUGCUUCGUACUCAGCAAUGUUGUUUGUGCAAUUAAAAUCAAGCUUUGCUGCAUAACAAGUUUUGACUUUGGAAGGUGAAACCAACACAGCAGCCGCUCCUGCUCCGAAGGUUCCCCAAGAUCCAUCACAAAACACUGUCCAGGCUUCGUUGUCUUUAUUUGUUUCCUCCUCCUGAGCCCCUGGCGUCCAAUCAGCAAUAAAGUCUGCCAGUGCCUGUGACUGAAUCGAAGAUCUAUGAACAUAUUCAAUACAAAAUUCAUUGAGCUCUGCAGCCCAUUUUCCAAUUCUUCCAGUAGCUUCUCGGUUCCUCAUAAUAUCCUUCAGAGGUUGUGAAGAAGGAACAAUUAUGUUGUAAGCUUGGAAAUAGUGCCGAAGCUUCCUGGAGGCCAUCAAGACAGCAUACAGUAUCUUCUCCAACUCUGUAUAAUUUUUCUUUGAUAAACUAAGGACUUCGGAAACAAAAUAUAUUGGGGCCUGCCUUCUGACUUGACCAUCAAGCUUCUCUUGGACAAGCGCUGCACUUACCGCUGAGUGCGAGGCUGCCACAUAUAAUAAUAAAGGAGCCCCUGGCAUUGGUGGAGUCAGUGUUGUUAGAUCUAUCAAAUACUGUUUCAGUUCUUCGAAAGCCUUCUGCUGGAUUGGUCCCCAUUGAAAGACUUCGGCCGACUUCAGCACUUCGAAGAAUGGUAAAUUUCUCUCUGCUGAUCUGGAUAUGAAUCUAUUGAGAGAUGCCAAUCUUCCUGUCAAUCUUUGAGCCCCCUUCUUUGUAGUUGGUGGCUCCAUCCGAAGUAUAGCUUCAAUUUUACUUGGAUUGGCUUCAAUUCCCUUUGUUGAAACCAAGCAUCCAAGAAAUUUCCCCUUCUUCACUCCGAAGACACAUUUUUCUGGAUUUAACUUUAAGCCAGCUUGCCUGAAACUGGCGAAGGUCUCCUGCAGAUCAGCAAUAUGAUUCUCCUGCUUCGUGCUUUUGACAAUGAUGUCAUCAACAUAAGUUAGCACAUUUCUGCCUAUUUGAGAUUGAAGAACCUUCGCAGUCAUUCGGCUAAAACUUCCUCCAGCGUUUUUGAGCCCCUCAGGCAUCCGAAGAUAGCAAUAUGUGCCACUUGGAGUGAUGAAGCUAGUCUUCGGCUCAUCUUCCUUCUUCAUCCAAAUCUGGUGAUAGCCUGAAUAGCAGUCUAACAGACUCAUGAGCUCUGACGAAGCUGCUGCAUCAACUAAAGAGUCUAUCCUUGGUAGUGGGAAUUCAUCCUUCGGACAAGCCUUGUUAAGAUCUGUAAAAUCGAUGCACAUUCGCCACUUGCCAUUGGCCUUUUUUACCAUAACAGUGUUAGCCAGCCAUUCUGGAUACUUCACCUCUCUAAUGACUCCUGCACUGAGGAGUCUUUUGACUUCGUUGCGAGCACCUUCGGCCUUAUCAUCUGACAUUUUCCGAAGCCUUUGCUUUCUGGGUCUGAAGGAUGGAUCGACAUUGAGCGAGUGCUCGAUAACAUCUCUAUUAACUCCACAAAGAUCAUUGGCUGACCAUGCAAAAACAUCCUUGUUAUUGAACAAAAACCUUAUCAAGGUUUUCUCUUGCUCUUCGGAUAACUGAGAUCCUAACAGCACCUUCUGCUCUGCUAUGUCCUCACAUAAGAGCAUAGGCUUCGGCUGAUCUGCUGAAGCUGCUUUCUCCCUCCUGAACUUGUACUGUUCACAAGCUUCAGCUCCAUCUAUGUUAUGGAUUGCUUUUGAGUCAGUCCAAUUGCCUUCGGCCCUUCUUGCAGCUUCCUGACUUCCAUGGAUAGCAAUGGGUCCCUGAUCCGAAGGUAUCUUCAUGCAAAGAUAGGCAGGAUGAAGGAUUGCUUCGAAGGCAUUAAGAGUACCACGACCAAUAAUUGCAUUGUAAGGAUAUUCCAUGUCAACAAUGUCAAACACAACUUGCUCAGUUCUAGUGUUGUUGAUGAAUCCGAAGGUGACUGACAUGGUGAUCUUGCCCAAUGCUACAAUUUGUCUUCCUCCGAAGCCACAAAGAGGAUGUGUAGCAUCAUGAAUCUUAUCUUCUGGCUCUUGCAUUUGUCUGAAGGCCUUAGCAAAUAUGAUGUCAGCUGCACUGCCUGUGUCAACCAAGACAUUGUGGACCAGAAAUCCUUUGAUAACACAAGAGAUAACCAUGGCAUCGUUGUGUGGGUAAUCUUUAAGCUGAAGGUCCUCUUGAGAGAAGGUGAUAGGAAUGUGAGACCAUCUUGACUUGAUGAAGGGUCCUUGCACCCCAACAUGCUGUACCCUUCUCUGUGCUUCCUUCUUCUGCUUCUUGUUAGCUGGCUCUGAGGACGAGCCACCUGUGAUCGGGAGCACCAGCUUCGGGUCCGAAGCAGCUCCAGUUUGGUCGUUGAACGAAGCCAUCAGCUCAAAAAGUGGAAGUGAGUUCACCGGAGGUGGGCGCCAAUGUUGGGGACUUGUUCUCAAAUGCUAUGAAUUAAGAACAAGGCAACAUAAAAUGUUAAAUGAAAUUGUCCUUCGUCCGCGAAGCAUUAUUCCUUUGAGGAUAAUGAAUCCUGGACGAAGGUUGAUGAGAAUCUUAUUACGAAGUUGAACCUUCGUAAUAAACUUUUAAUAAGCGUUAUAAAAUAAUACAAAAUAAAAGGUAUAAGAUGGAUAAAUGUCUCACAGAUACAUCAUAUCAUAUUUACCUAAUAUAUUGAAUUAUUAAAUACAAUAAUACCUAUGCCUUGACAAAGGUUGAAUUCCGAAAGAUGCAAUUGCAAAUGCCAGAAUGCGUGAACAGUAACGGAAUACUGUUCACUAUUUAUAGGCACAGGACGCAGCCUGUGAGGAAUUACAAGUAUGCCCCUUAUAAAAACUUACAACAUUGACUCAGACCUUUAUGGACUAAAAGGUCAUUCUAUCUUUAAGUCGUUUGUAAUGCCGAAGCUCUGCGAAGAGGCACCUUCGGCUAUCUUGUACGAACAGCUUCAUCCGAGGAUUACUUCUUUCUAUAAGACCUUCGGCGACGAAGCAUAGACCCAACAAAAAGUCUUCCUUACCUAAUUUCUUUUAUCCCAAAUCUUCUCUAAACUCACCUAAUAGCUAAAACCUGAUGUACAUUUGUUUUCUAUGCCACACCUACUAAUGGCAUGAAAAUUUUAGGUGUAUAAAAAAUAUAUAUUGGAAGUUCCACUUAAAAAAUACUAGAAUUUCAUAAAUAUAAACUCAGCUUGAUAUGCUCAACUAGACGAUAUUUUUAAAUAGGAUUAUAGAAUCUAAUGGGAUCUAAACUAUUAUGAUCUAAUCUAGUGUGAGACACUUAACAAGUUAACACUAGUGAAAUAAACUAGAUCCUACUCCUAUAAACCUUGUUCUCCCCUCAUGCACUUAAACCUAAAAUUAGUGCAUUAAACCAACUCAACCGUGAGUAGAAGAGAUAACCCAAUCAAUAGAGUCAUGAUGGAUUGCAUAAUCUAUCCGUCCCCACCAAAUGUCAAACAAGAUUUUGACCUACAUCCUAUAGUCUAUCUCGACCAUAUCUAUCUUAACCAUAUUCCCCAACUCCGAUGAUAUACACUAACCUCGAAUCAAUGAGACAAAGACCGGAGAAGAAAACAUCAACGUCGACAAGGAAGGAUAUAAUAGUCAAAGCGAAUCGCGAGAUGAGGCAAGACUUAAACAUUUCGGACGAAGUCUUUUCCUUGCCAUAAUCUUUCUUACCUCGACCUGUCCAACUUAUAUCCUACAUAAUAAGUAGCUGGAUACCUAUGCUCUCCUAAUCACACAUUAUUGGCUAUAAAAAUGUGACUCUGAACUUUUGAACCAAUUAUAGAUUAAAAGCUGAAUUACAAACCAAUCCUUCUGUAUCCCUUUUCUUACAAAUCUCGAGGACGAGAUUUCUGUUAAGGGGGUAGGAUUUGUAAGACCUAAAUUUGGUAGAAGAAAUAUAUAUAUAUAUAUAUAUAUAUAUAUAUCAUAAAAUAAAAUAAAGAAAUAAAAAUGAUAGUGUUCCUAAGAAUUGACAUUCCUUGUUCAUAAUCAACUUAAGAUAAUAAAAUAGUCAUAUGAAAAAAAGUGGGCACCUCAUGCUUAUGGAUUUGGGGUGGCACAUUUUAUUGAAAUAAGGAGUCAUAAUUUAAACUUGAUCUAAAAACUUUAAAUGAAAACAUAAAAUAGAAAUUGAGGAAAGAAAUUUUAAUGAAGUCAUUUAAGACUUUUUCAUAAAUAAAUAAUGGGGAAAAGAAUGAAAGUAAUAUUCUUGCAUUCAUGCUGAAGUUUUUGAGUUAUGUAUUUGAUUUUGAGUUACACUUUGAAAACAAAUGAUAAUUUAAAAUCUAAUUUGGAAAACUUGAAAAUAUAAAACAAAAGGGAAAUAAGAAAAGAGAAAGGGAAUUGUAUUAAAGUCAUUUACCAUUGCUAGAAUUAAAUAAUGGGAAGAAGAAAUUACAAGAAGUAAAAGUAUUAUUCUAGUAAGAAUUGUGAAUUCAAAGUUCCAACAUGAAUUUGAAUUUAGUUUUGGAAUCUGAAAAAUAAGAUAAAAUAGGAAACAAAAUGAAAACAAAAAUAAAUAAAAAAGGGGAAGACUCCAUUUUUGCGCCUGGGCCGAAUUCGGCUCCCCGGCCAGCCCAACUUGGCCUCGCGCGCGCUCUGUGUCACCUGGGCCGCGCACCUUGUGUCACCGCCGUGUGGGCCCUAGUGGCUAGCGGCUCCACACGCUAGCCCACCCGUUAUAGACCGCUUUCCCCAUUUCCACCCACGCCGCCACGCGCGCACCGUGACAUUAGCACGCGGGCCGCAUAGUCAUCCACACAGCGCGCCCCUCAUUGACAUGUGGGACCAAUGCCCAGGCGGGGGAAAGACCCUUCUUCCACUGGCCGCCGCGCCGUGUAGCAACCUGUGAGGACCGCGCCUGGAGCUCCGCCUUCGCCGGGAAUCAGUUGCGUAUUGGAGCUAUUCUCGCGGGGGAAGUGGGAGGCAUAAGAACACCUGUUGCUGCCUCCUCAGUAUUCCUCCCUCUAGCCACAGCCGAGAACCUGGAAGCCAAGGCCUCCCUCAUCUCUCUCCCAACAUCGACGCUGUCCGCUGGUGCUCGCGUCUCCCUGUCCUCUAGCGCAUGUGCGUCAUGGUACACGAAUUCCCUUCUCCCUUGCGCGCGCCGGUUGCCUCCACCGCUGGUCGUGCGCCGCUGUCAACCUUCCUCACCGGUCGCAGCUCCUCGACGGCCGUCCCUGACCCCACCUUGGCGCAGCGCCGCUGGGAGCGCGGUCUGGGCAAGCCUUCAGGUUGCAUCGUGGGAUGCCGCGGCUCGGGCAAGCGAUAUUGAGGAACCCUGGGUUCCGUUGGGAUCAGCUCGCCGGGAUGCACGGAUUUUGUCGCAGGAUGGGAGAAUCCACCGCUGGGUCGCCGCUGUUCGCGCGGACACCGUCGAGGCCAUGGUGCUCCAAGCUACAAAUCUGGGUGAGAACCUCCUUCUCGGAUCCGCCUCCAUCGUCUAACUGUGUAGCACCCAUCAUGGUGAGGGAUCGUGUGCCGGGGGCGAGGAUCGUGCGCUCGCCGGUGAUGGCGCGACGUGGAUUGAGCGGCGUCGCCGCGUCUGUACGCGGAUGAGGAAAACCUGUGCCCAGUCGUUGGAUCGAAAGGGUGCGGCCAGGAUUAGAAGGUAGCUUACCCCUUCGUUUAAGAGAACACUGACCGUAGAUCUGUGAUCCGAUGAAUACAAUUCGAUCUCGGUUAUUUAGGAUCCGAGCCGUAGAUAUAGGAUCCAGCGGCAUCAUUGUGUCCUGGUUCCGGGGGGAUUGGAUCUAAUCGUAAGUGUUGAACCCAAAUCCAACGGCUUUGGUCACCCGAUACCCCUUCGGCUGUAGUAUUUUGCUAAAGAGCCCCUGGCACCUUUAAAAAUCAACCCGCAGUUCUCGGAUCCUGUUCACUCAGUCUUAGGAAGCUUGCGCAGAGGCCCCUGUCUUCUCUGGAAAUUGAGGCACAGUUCAGACAGCGAGAAAAACCUAUAAAAUCAUUUAGAAAAUGAAUUUUUAAUAUGAAAACAAUUCCUAGAACUUGUGUAAUUCAUAGAAAAUUCAUAUUAAAUCCAAAUUAAUUCAUUCAAGUUUCUAUAAUUUUGUAAUAUUAUUUUUUAUCACCUAGUGUCUCUGUUGUGACAUGAAAGCCAUAAUAAAAUUGAUCUCCUAAUUAAUCUUGUAUCAAAAACAUAAAACCUUUGGAAAUUCAUAACUUCCUCAUUUUAACUCCGAAUUGAAUCGUUCCAGUUGCGUUAGCUUCAUAUGAAUAUUUACUAUGUGAUAACAAUAUUUAUUGUAUUAUAUCUCAUUCUUUUAUAACUAGAUCUUUAUUUAACUUAUGUUGGCUAGUCUUGUUAAUCUGCUUAUCAUUAUAAUCUACUAAAAUAUGAUCUAUGGUCAAUUUAUAAUUUAGAUUAAAGUUGAAUUAAUUACUAAUUUAGGUUAUCUUUUCUCUGGAGUUAUAAAAUAAACAUAGAACCUAGUUUUAAUCAUUUAAUCACAUCAUAGCUUGAUGACCGUAACUCCGAUUUUAGUGGUUCUCGAUCCCAUGAUCUCGUUGCGACGCGUAGAUCAUUAUUAUGCAGUUUAUUCUUAUGUUUGGUAUGAUGUUAAUUUUGUCUAUACUGUUGGAACUUGCUCUCUUGGGCAAGUUGAUCCAACGGGAAAGUAGAAAGAGUGUUUGCAAAGUUUGACGAGGAAUGCCAAAAGCUUCGUUCAUCUCUCGUGUGAGGGCAUUGUGAAAGUCGCCUAGAGGGGGGGUGAAUAGGGCGAAUCUGAAAUUUAUAAACUUAAGCACAACUACAAGUCGUGUUAGCGUUAGAAAUAUGAACGAGUCCGAAAGAGAGGGCGAAAAACAAAUCACAAGGACCACCACACAAUUGGUGUCUCUUGCCUCGGUUACAAUUGAGUUGAUCACAAGAAAGAAUGAGAAAAAGAAGCAAUCCAAGCGCAAGAGCUCAAAUGAACACAAGUCACUCUCUCACUAGUCACUAUUUGAUUUGGAAUGAACUAUGGACUUGGGAGAGGAUUUGAUCUCUUUGGUGUGUCUUGUAUUGAAUGCUAAAGCUCUUAUAAGGUGUAGGAAGUUGGAAAACUUGGAUGCAAUGAAUGGUGCGGUGGUUGGGGUAUUUAUAGCCCCAACCACCAAAAGUGGCCAUUGGGAGGCUGUCUGUCGCAUGGCGCACCGGACAGUCCGGCCACGUCAGCCGGUCAUUGGGUUCUGACCGUUGGAGCUCUGACUGGUGGGGCCUCUAGGCUGUCCGGUGGUGCACCAGACAGGUCCUGUAGACUGUCCGGUGCCCCUUCUGCGCGUGCUCUGACUCUGGCGCGCACUGUAGCGCAUUUAAUGUGGUUGCAGUCGACCGUUGGCGCGAAGUAGCCGUUGCUCCGCUGGCACACCGGACAGUCCGGUGUGACACCGGACACUGUCCGUUGCUUCACCGGACAGUCCAGUGAAUUAUAGCGGAGCGGCCUCCCAUUUUCCCGAAGGUAGCGAGUUCAGCGUCAAGUUCCCUGGUGCACCAUACACUGUCCGGUGGUGCAUCGAACACUGUCCGGUGGCACACCGGACAGUCCGGUGCGCCAGACCAGGGUGCCUUUUGGGAUGUCUUUAGUUCUCUUUAUUUGAACCCAUCUUUGGACUUUUUAUUGGCUUGUUGUGAACCUUUGGCAUCUAUAAAACUUAUAGACUAGAGCAAACUAGUUAGUCCAAUUAUUUGUGUUGGGCAAUUCAACCACCAAAAUCAAUUUAGGAAAAGGUGUAAGCCUAUUUCCCUUUCAAUCUCCCCCUUUUUGGUGAUUGGUGCCAACACAAACCAAAGCAAAUAUAGAAAUGCAUAAUUGAACUAGUUUGCAUAAUUGUAAGUGCAAAGGUUGCUUGGAAUGAAACCAAUAUAUUCUCAUAAGAUGCGCAUGGAUUGAUUUCUUUUUCACUAUCAACAUUUUGGACCACGCUUGCACCACAUGUUUUGUUUUUGCAAAUUCUUUUGUAAAUUGUUUUAAAAGUCCUUUUGCAAAUAGUCAAAGGUAAAUGAAUAAGAUUUUGAGAAGCAUUUUCAAGAUUUGAAUUUUCUCCCCUUGUUUUCAAAUGCUUUUCCUUUGACUAAACAAAACUCCCCCUCAAUAAAAUCCUCCUCUUAGUGUUCAAGAGGGUUUUAGAUAUUAGUUUUUGAAGAGGGUGUUCCAAUUUGAAAUUCUAUCAAAAAUAAGAUACUAAUUGAAAAAUUUAUCAUUUCAAAAUCUUUUCUUAACUCAAAUUUUGAAAAUUGGUGGUGGUGCGGUCCUUUUGCUUUGGGCUAAUACUUUCUCCCCCUUUGGCAUGAAUCGCCAAAAACGGAUACUUGAGUGAAAUAUAAGCCCUUUGGAACUACUUUCUCCCCCUUUGGCGAACAAAAUAUGAGUGAAGAUUAUACCAAAGUUUGAGAGUUGCGCGGAGCGACGGCGAAGGAUGAGUAAUUUGAUGGAGUGGAGUGGAAGCCUUUGUCUUCGCCGAAGACUCCAAUUCCCUUUCAAUAUCUAUGACUUGGUUUGAAAUACACUUGAGAACACAUUAGUCAUAGUAUAUAAAAGAGAUAUGAUCAAAGGUAUAUUGAUGAGCUAUGUGUGCAAACCAUUAAAAGAAAUUCCUAGAAUCAAGAAUAUUUAGCUCAUGCCUAAGUUUGGUAAAUGUUUGUUCAUCUAAUGGCUUGGUAAUGAUAUCGGCUAAUUGUUCUUUGGUGUUAAUAUAUGUAAUCUCGAUAUCCCCCUUUUGUUGGUGAUCUUUUAGAAAAUGAUACCGAAUGGCUAUGUGUUUAGUGCGGCUAUGCUCAACGGGAUUAUCCGCCAUGCGGAUUGCACUCUCAUUAUCACAUAGAAGAGGAACUUUGGUUAAUUUGUAACCAUAGUCCCUGAGGGUUUGCCUCAUCCAAAGCAAUUGCGCGCAACAGUGGCCUGCGGCAAUAUACUCGGCUUCGACGGAAUUUUGCUUCUUUGAAGCCCAAGACACCAGAGACCUUCUCAAGAACUGGCAAGUCCCCGAUGUGCUCUUUCUAUUAAUUUUACACCCUGCCCAAUCGGCAUCCGAAUAACCAAUUAAAUCAAAUGUGGAUCCCUUAGGGUACCAAAGGCCAAACUUAGGAGUAUAAACUAAAUAUCUCAAGAUUCGUUUUACGGCCCUAAGGUGAGCUUCCUUAGGAUCGGCUUGGAAUCUUGCACACAUGCAUACAGAAAGCAUAAUGUCCGGUCGAGAUGCACAUAAAUAGAGUAAAGAACCUAUCAUCGACCGGUAUACCUUUUGAUCUACGGAUUUACCUCCCGUGUCGAGGUCGAGAUGCCCAUUAGUUCCCAUGGGUGUCUUGAUGGGCUUGGCAUCCUUCAUCCCAAACUUGCUUAGAAUGUCUUGAGUAUACUUCGUUUGGCUAAUGAAAGUGCCCUCGUGGAGUUGCUUCACUUGAAAUCCCAAGAAGUACUUCAACUCCCCCAUCAUAGACAUCUCGAAUUUUUGUGUCAUGAUCCUACUAAAUUCCUCACAUGUAGAUUCGUUAGUAGACCCAAAUAUAAUAUCAUCAACAUAAAUUUGGCAUACAAACAAAUCAUUUGCAAGAAUUUUAGUAAAUAAAGUAGGACCAGCCUUUCCGACUUUGAAGCCAUUAGUGAUAAGAAAAUCUCUUAGGCAUUCAUACCAUGCUCUUGGGGCUUGCUUGAGCCCAUAAAGCGCCUUAGAGAGUUUAUACACAUGGUUAGGGUACUCACUAUCUUCAAAGCCGGGAGGUUGCUCAACAUAGGCCUCUUCCUUGAUUGGUCCGUUGAGGAAGGCACUUUUCACGUCCAUUUGGUAAAGCUUAAAACCAUGGUAAGUAGCAUAGGCAAGUAAAAUGUGAAUUGACUCAAGACUAGCUAUGGGUGCAUAGGUUUCACCGAAAUCCAAACCUUCGACUUGUGAGUAUCCUUGGCCACAAGUCGGGCUUUGUUCCUUGUCACCACACCAUGCUCAUCUUGCUUGUUGUGGAAGACCCACUUGGUUCCUACAACAUUUUGGUUAGGACGUGGAACUAAAUACCAUACCUCAUUCUGUCACACCCGGGUUUUAGGGGCACCAAGACCCGGGCGCGAACAUAAUCACCAGGUGUGCUGGGACCAAGUCUCACACAUAUGAUGAAUCAUGGCAUAGGAUCGAAUGUCAUAUCUUUACUAUAUAAUAGGAGUUCUAUACAAAAUAAAUAAUUACAUUAUAAGGAGACAAUGGUCCAGCAACCCAAAGUUGACUGGGAGACGACGACCUAGACCUCUCACGAACUCGCCACAGCAUCCUCCAUGCGCCUCAUCCUGCGGUACCUGUUCUUGACCUGUGGGGGGGUGUGAGACAGCAAGAGUGAGCUCACAUACGUUCAUCGCUCAACAAGUUGUGGGGAAUAAUGUGCAUGAACUCGCCAAAGGUGGGAGCUCACGUGAAGUGUAAGGCUUACCAAAGAGGAUGGUUGAAGCUGAGCAUUGCUUUUAAAGUUGGUCAAAAUUUUAUUAGCAAUUACUAAGUAUAAGUAAAUACUAACCCAAUUAAGUAGUAGAACAAAAGUAACAACCUCACCUGCGAUGCAAUGCAUAUGACAAAUUGAGUUUAAGUUCCAUAAUUUAAUCAUGUGAGUGUCCGAGCUGCUCAUGACCGUGAGCACGGCUAGUAUACCAGUUUUACACUCUGCAGAGGUUGCACAUCUUUACCCACAAGUCAUGUUACCCAUCUGCCAAGGGAUCGCGACUUCCCAUACACCUCUACCGAGGAGGCGAGGCAGGGUAACACUACGAGGCCUUUACAAAGUUCCACUAGCUUCAGAAAACCCGCUACAGUUUAUAGGAAGCUCCAAUGCAGGGUUCUUGCCUGACCGCCAUCGCAGCAAAAUCAACCAAGGACCUCCCUACACUGACCACUCCCCUACUGCCCUUGCCCCUUUCGGGUAAGGUAGUCCUCCACUAGCUUUCCUAAUUAAUCAGCCAAGGGCAUCCAUAAACCCUUGUGGUAGCACUGUUUUCCCGGGUGGUUCUCCAUGUUCCAAUUAACAUAAUGAUCUUAUCAUGAACAGUAAAUAACAACUGAUAAUAAAAGUAUAAUCAUGAAUAAAAUGUAUCUCCAUACCCAAAACCACAUAAAGCAAUAACAGGUACUACCCGAAAAUCCAGUGGUGAACAAGGUAUAAAGAUAGUCAAACUAGGGUAACCUAUUGGGUCCCAUCAAAAUUAACCUAUGCAGAUCAUUAUGAUUAAUUAGAACAUGACUGGGUAAAAAGAAGUGAUCAAGGGCACAACUUGCCUGGGACUUGAGAUUCCAGGUACCAACUUGCUCUUCAGAUGACACGUGUCCUCACUGCUAAACGUAGCAAUACAGACAAACAUGGUAUAGGCAAAAUGAACAUCACAUCAAACAUAUAAACAAAAUACACAGUAAUAAUCUACAUAUUAAAAUAGAAUCCUAGGAACAGAAAUCAUAAUUUUUGGAGCUAUAGAUUUUAAGUUAUGAAUUUUCAAAGGUUUCAUGUGUUUUAAAUAGGAUUAAGUGAGAAAUAAAUUUUAUUACUGUUUUCAUGACAAAACAGAGACUCUAAGUGAUAGAGAAUUAAAUUACAAAAAUUUAGAAAGUGGAAUGGCUCAAUUUGGACCAAGUAUGGAUCUUCUAUGAUUUUUACAAGUUCUAGCACUAAUUUAUAUAUUAAAACUCCAUUUAAAAUUUAACUUCUCUGGUUUAACACUAUUCUGAAUUGGGCCACAAUUUCUAGAAAGUCCAGGGGCCUAAUCCAAAGUUUUCUAAGACUCAGUGAAUAAUCCGAGUGGACGGCGGGUUGGUUUCUUAGUUUCCCGAGGACUCUUUAGCAAAAUAUGCAAGCCGAAGGGGUAUCCGAUGAUGUGGGCCACCCGAUCGGCCUCCAACGCUCCAGAUUAAAUCGCAGUACUAAUGAAGCGGUACGCAAUGCCCUCCAGUGGAUUGCGAUCCUACGGCGCAGAUUUAAUUUCACCCAGAGCCACCCGAUCCAUCCGAUCGGAUAUUAACGGCUCAGAUUUAUUCUCUCGAAUCGUUAUCGCGAUCUAAUCGGGGCCGUUCCCUGGGAGAUCAAUGGCCCACAACCCAUCGUCUCCAAACCGCACCCUUACGCGGCGGCGGCGCCCCGCCCGCGGCGCGCCCUCGUCGGGGGGGGGGGGGGUGACCAAUCCGCACGCACACGCCCCGAUCUCACAAACUGAGAGCACAUACGCGAUGCCGAGUGAAAAGCGAACCCAGGAGAGGGAUUCUUACCGUGGGUAGCAGCACAGAGAGCUCCGGCCACGGCGUCGUGCGGGUCCGCCGUGGAGUUGGUGCGACGGCGAGAAAUUCCUUGCUCGCAGUCCCCGAAUCGCGUCCGAUGAGGGCACCAGAAACUCCGAGACGCCCCAACGAAGUCCCCGACCUCCGUCCGAGGCUAGAGCGUUGACUCGGGCGUGUAAUCACGGCGGCGGCGGAACUCCCUCACACACGGCGCGCACGACAUUAGGCGAUGGCGGUGUCUAGUAUGAACUGCGAGAGCAAAGGGGAGAAACAGGUUGCGGCUAGGGCCCUUUUAUACGACGAGAUGGUGCGCAGGUCCCGGUAACGGAGUCCGAGGUCACCGGCGAGCACCACCGCGGAUUUCGCGAGCUUAGUUGCCGCGGCCGCACGGUGGCUGGUGACAGGCGGGCCCCACAUGUAAGCCACGCGGAAAAAAGGGAGAGCGAGGCGCCCAGGCUGACGCGUGGGUCCGGCUGCGCGGUGAACUAACGUUGGCCGAGCGGGUAGGCUUAAGUGGGCCGAUGCGAGGGGAGUAAGGUUGGAUGGGCCGAAUUCAGGCUGGCGGCCCAGAUGAGCUUUUCUCCUUUUCUCUUUAUUCUUUUCUUUUCUCUAUUCCUUAUUUCCAAAUUCCAUUUUAAAUUCAGAUUUAAAUUCAAAUCUUGUGCCAGAUUAUCUUCAAAUUAUAUUUGUGAAAUAAAAGUACCAAUUUUUUUUGAAAUAUAAUUAUAUAUAUGUUAUUUAUAUUUUUAUAUCCUUUAUUCCUUUUCUCCAUAUUUCUAGAAUCCCCUUUAACUCUUAAUUUCCCACUUUGGGACUUCAAUAAUUUUCUUGUCACAUUAUCUUUAUAUUGUCACAAAAUGCACACAAAAAUAAAAUCUCAGCAAGAUGCAAUGAUUUAGUGGCAUUUACUUUAGAAUUAACUUUUUUUAAAAAAAUAUGGUGUCCACAUAUAAUGGCACAAAAAGUUCAAACUCCCACAUAGGUAAAGUGAACUUGUUUCUCCCUUUGGUAUUAGCUCUUGCAUAUUACAAAUUGGGUAUUACAAAUCCUACCCCCCUUAAAAAUAAUCUCGUCCUCGAGAUUUGUAAGAGAAAGGAUAUAUAUACUCAUAUUGUUGUGGGAACAUAUGCACAAACAAAGAAAUCUCAGCAUGAUGCGUAACUUAUUAGCAAAACAAAGGGUCAAAUCGACCUUAUUAUUAUUCCUAAAAUAGUAAAAUACGAACUACUGGCCAAACUAAUAUUUAGGUCUUACAAAUAGUAAAAUAUAUAUAUAUAUAUAUGUAUCUAUAUUUAUGUUUAUCUCUAUUCUUGUUGUUCUUUGACUUCUUCACCGACUACUUCAUCUUCAACUAGCUCUUCUUCUUGAAUUUCCAGAUCACCUGGUUCAACCUCUACUUCUGCAUGAUGGGCAUGUCCCCGGUUGAUAGAUAGUGGCUGACUCUUUCCUGCCGAGGCUUGUCCUUGC
This 24497-nucleotide long non-coding RNA is filed under the name Zea mays. RNAcentral describes it as "long non-coding RNA (ZMAY_LNC003124)". Lineage: Eukaryota; Viridiplantae; Streptophyta; Magnoliopsida; Poales; Poaceae. The record is from RNAcentral.